GACACACGCAUACACACACACAGACACACACACACACACGGUCACACACACAAUCACACACGCGCGCGCACCGCCCGCUGAGGGCACCGGGCGGCGGAGGGCGAAGUUGGGCGUUCGGAGUGAACGUGAGUUGUCAGGAGAGCGUGGAAAGAAGAUAUUUAUCGCAUUAGCCCUGCACGAUCAAGGAGAAGGCUGGCUGUUUGAGGAUGCUUUAUUAAUGAAUGCUAGAGGACAUCCACCCCUCCUAAGGCACAAACUGGGGAGGCAGUCACUCCUGAAGCCGUGGAAUUCCCUCGCAAGAAGAAGAGGAUUUUUUAACCCAUAUGCAUAAUCCACGCAGGCAUUUUAAUU
Molecule: long non-coding RNA, 351 nt
Organism: Centrocercus urophasianus (Greater sage-grouse)
Lineage: Eukaryota; Metazoa; Chordata; Aves; Galliformes; Phasianidae
Exons: 3
Source: RefSeq, a predicted model, not a curated record